CUGGAAAAAGCUAUCAUUCAUACAGAAGAAUUGUUUGUAUCCAGUUGUCUCCUACAUCUGACAUAUCAAACUCUACAGGAGAACAAUGUCUGGAGUAAAAGGACAACAGAAGAAAUGCCCAGAGCCUUGCCCACCACCCCAGCAGGACUGCCAGGAUCAGUGCGAGCCAGUGCAGGUGUGCCCUGAACCGAAAUGUCCUCCUCAAGUGGUGCAAUGUAGUCCAGCCCCACAAUGUCAGAACCAACAGGACAAGCAAUACGUGAAGAAGUGAAGAUCUGAAUAUCUCAAGACAAGUAUAACAAGCUUUCUGAAUGUAUUUAGAAGAAACCUCUACAUUAUAUUCCAAAGAUAUAUGAUGACAGUUACCCAAUAUUAAAGUCUUUUAAAACAAAGA
Long non-coding RNA from Bufo gargarizans (Asiatic toad), 394 nucleotides. RefSeq lists it as uncharacterized. The record is from RefSeq and is a predicted model, not a curated record. The transcript is spliced from 3 exons. NCBI's taxonomy places the organism in Eukaryota, Metazoa, Chordata, Amphibia, Anura, Bufonidae.